RNAcentral lists this ribosomal RNA (1351 nucleotides) under uncultured marine eukaryote. Its description in RNAcentral is "SSU rRNA". It matches the Rfam family "Eukaryotic small subunit ribosomal RNA", at positions 410 to 1776 of the family's 1831-position model. The record is from RNAcentral.
CCAUUUAAGCGAGGCAGCAGGCGCGCAAUUACCCAAUCCUGACUCAGGGAGGUAGUGACAAGAAAUAACAAUAAACCGGCUUAUGCCGGUUUAAUUGGAAUGAGUACAAUUUAAACAUCUUAACGAGGAACAAUUGGAGGGCAAGUCUGGUGCCAGCAGCCGCGGUAAUUCCAGCUCCAAUAGCGUAUACUAAAGUUGUUGCAGUUAAAAAGCUCGUAGUUGGAUUUCUGUGGGGACGGAGCGGCCGGCCGCAACUCGCGGUUCGAGCUAGCGCUUUCCCUACAUCCUGCCGCGAACCGUGCUACCAUUAGUUUGGUGGCGCCGGGGAUCGGCUCGAUUACUUUGAGAAAAAUAGAGUGUUCAAAGCAGGCCACAUGCCUUGAAUAAGUUAGCAUGGAAUAAUAACUAAGGACUUCGGUUCUAUUUUGUUGGUGUUCGGGACUGAAGUAAUGAUUGAUAGGGACAGUUGGGGCGGUCUGUAUUCCAAAGCGAGAGGUGAAAUUCUUAGACCUUCGGAAGACAAACAGCUGCGAAAGCGUUCCGCAAGGAUGUUCCCUUUGAUCAAGAACGAAAGUUGGGGGAUCGAAGACGAUCAGAUACCGUCGUAGUCUCAACUAUAAACUAUACCAGCUAGGGAUCGGCCAACGUUAUUUCAAACCGACUUGGUCGGCACCUUAUGAGAAAUCAAAGCAUCUGGGUUCCGGGGGGAGUAUGGUCGCAAGGCUGAAACUUAAAGGAAUUGACGGAAGGGCACCACCAGCCGUGGAGCCUGUGGCUUAAUUUGACUCAACACGGGAAAACUUACCAGGUCCAGACAUAGUAAGGAUUGACAGAUUGAUAGCUCUUUCUUGAUUCUGUGGGUGGUGGUGCAUGGCCGUUCUUAGUUGGUGGAGUGAUUUGUCUGGUUAAUUCCGUUAACGAACGAGACCCCAGCCUGCUAAAUAGCGCGCGUGAGCUUUGCUCGCGGCGAGCUUCUUAGAGGGACUCUGAUGCGCGAUAGCACAUGGAAGUUUGGGGCAAUAACAGGUCUGUGAUGCCCUUAGAUGUUCUGGGCCGCACACGGGCUACACUGGCGCCUGCAUCGAGCAUAUCAGCUGGCCCGAGAGGGUCUUGGCUAAUCUUUUGAACCGGCGCCGUGCUUGGGAUUGACCUUUGCAAUUGUUGGUCAUGCAACGAGGAAUGCCUUGUAAACGCGAGUCAUCAGCUCGCAUUGAAUACGUCCCUGCCCUUUGUACACACCGCCCGUCGCUCCUACCGAUGAAUGUUCCGAUGAAAUUUCCGGAGAGCACCUGUGAACUUGGCUCUGCCUUGCGAACGGGAGGCUCAAAGUCACUUAAAUCUGAACAUUGAG